CUUCAACGAGCCGAGCCACAGCGGCAGUUCGGGGUCGCGGCCGGUGCCGUAGGUCGCCAGCAGCGCCUCGGCCUC
This 75-nucleotide antisense RNA is filed under the name Streptantibioticus cattleyicolor NRRL 8057 = DSM 46488. Its description in RNAcentral is "Streptomyces cattleya NRRL 8057 ASpks TB sRNA". It matches the Rfam family "ASpks TB sRNA". The record is from Rfam by way of RNAcentral. Lineage: Bacteria; Bacillati; Actinomycetota; Actinomycetes; Kitasatosporales; Streptomycetaceae.